RNAcentral lists this ribosomal RNA (468 nucleotides) under uncultured bacterium. RNAcentral describes it as "partial 16S ribosomal RNA". It matches the Rfam family "Bacterial small subunit ribosomal RNA", at positions 28 to 507 of the family's 1533-position model. The record is from RNAcentral.
GACGAACGCUGGCGGCGUGCUUAACACAUGCAAGUCGAACGGAACGGCCCUGCUUUUGUGCGGUGCUCGAGUGGCGAACGGGUGAGUAACACGUGAGUAACCUGCCCUUGACUUUGGGAUAACUUCAGGACACUUGGGCUAAUACCGGCUAGGAGCUCCUGCUUCAUGGUGGGGGUUGGAAAGUUUCGGCGGUUGGGGAUGGAAUCGCGGCUUAUCAGCUUGUUGGUUGGGUAGUGGCUUACCAAGGCAUUGAGGGGUAGCCGGCCUGAGAGGGUGACCGGACCAAUCGGGACUGAGAUGAGACACAGACCCGAACGGGACGCAAGGGAGGAGAAGAGUAUACUAGAGGAGGAACGCUGAUGUAGCAACGCCGCGUGGGGGAAGACGGGAAUCGGGUAGUAUACCGCUGUCGCCUGAGACGAGACGAGAGUGACGGUAAUGGGUGAAGAAGCACCGGCUAACUACGUG